Molecule: small RNA, 818 nt
Filed under: uncultured Monacrosporium
Lineage: Eukaryota; Fungi; Ascomycota; Orbiliomycetes; Orbiliales; Orbiliaceae
Description: eukaryotic LSU rRNA
Rfam family: Eukaryotic large subunit ribosomal RNA (bases 555-818)
Source: RNAcentral
AAGUCGUAACAAGGUUUCCGUAGGUGAACCUGCGGAAGGAUCAUUACCAAAACUUAGCUGUCUGGCCGCGAGGUCGUGACGCUUCAACCCUCUGUGAACCAAAAAACCUUUCGCUUCGGCAGCCGCCCGGUCGCUAACCCGACCGGCGUGUCAGCCUGCCGGCAGCACCAAACAAAAAACUUGCUUUGAAAAUUAUGUCUGAUAACCAAAUUUUCGAAUGAAAAUUAAAACUUUCAACAACGGAUCUCUUGGUUCCCGCAUCGAUGAAGAACGCAGCGAAACGCGAUAGUUAAUGUGAAUUGCAGAAUUCAGUGAAUCAUCGAAUCUUUGAACGCACAUUGCGCCCAUCGGUAUUCCGUUGGGCAUGUCUGUUUGAGCGCCAUUACAACCCUCGACACCAGUCGGUUCUGAGCCCGGGAUGGUGUAACACCCGCCCCCGGCUUUAAAGUUGUAAGCUCUGCUGGCCGCUCCGCCUGACCGAAAACAUAGUAAACCUACUUGUUGGAGGGGGCGCGAACGGUACGGCCUGAACAAAACCUACCCAUCUCAAGGUUUGACCUCAGAUCAGAUAAGGAUACCCGCUGAACUUAAGCAUAUCAAUAAGCGGAGGAAAAGAAACCAACAGGGAUUGCCUCAGUAACGGCGAGUGAAGCGGCAACAGCUCAAAUUUGAAAUCUGGAGCCUUCGGCUUCCGAGUUGUAAUUUGAAGAGGAUGUUUCGGUUGUGGCCUGGGCCUAAGUUCCUUGGAACAGGACGUCAUGGAGGGUGAGAAUCCCGUACAUGGCUGCAGGCUUACUUCCAUGUGAAACUCCUUCGAA